UUAAGCGACUAAGCGUACACGGUGGAUGCCCUGGCAGUCAGAGGCGAUGAAGGACGUGCUAAUCUGCGAUAAGCGUCGGUAAGGUGAUAUGAACCGUUAUAACCGGCGAUUUCCGAAUGGGGAAACCCAGUGUGUUUCGACACACUAUCAUUAACUGAAUCCAUAGGUUAAUGAGGCGAACCGGGGGAACUGAAACAUCUAAGUACCCCGAGGAAAAGAAAUCAACCGAGAUUCCCCCAGUAGCGGCGAGCGAACGGGGAGGAGCCCAGAGCCUGAAUCAGUGUGUGUGUUAGUGGAAGCGUCUGGAAAGGCGUGCGAUACAGGGUGACAGCCCCGUACACAAAAAUGCACAUACUGUGAGCUCGAUGAGUAGGGCGGGACACGUGGUAUCCUGUCUGAAUAUGGGGGGACCAUCCUCCAAGGCUAAAUACUCCUGACUGACCGAUAGUGAACCAGUACCGUGAGGGAAAGGCGAAAAGAACCCCGGCGAGGGGAGUGAAAAAGAACCUGAAACCGUGUACGUACAAGCAGUGGGAGCACGCUUCGGCGUGUGACUGCGUACCUUUUGUAUAAUGGGUCAGCGACUUAUAUUCUGUAGCAAGGUUAACCGAAUAGGGGAGCCGAAGGGAAACCGAGUCUUAACUGGGCGUUAAGUUGCAGGGUAUAGACCCGAAACCCGGUGAUCUAGCCAUGGGCAGGUUGAAGGUUGGGUAACACUAACUGGAGGACCGAACCGACUAAUGUUGAAAAAUUAGCGGAUGACUUGUGGCUGGGGGUGAAAGGCCAAUCAAACCGGGAGAUAGCUGGUUCUCCCCGAAAGCUAUUUAGGUAGCGCCUCGUGAAUUCAUCUCCGGGGGUAGAGCACUGUUUCGGCAAGGGGGUCAUCCCGACUUACCAACCCGAUGCAAACUGCGAAUACCGGAGAAUGUUAUCACGGGAGACACACGGCGGGUGCUAACGUCCGUCGUGAAGAGGGAAACAACCCAGACCGCCAGCUAAGGUCCCAAAGUCAUGGUUAAGUGGGAAACGAUGUGGGAAGGCCCAGACAGCCAGGAUGUUGGCUUAGAAGCAGCCAUCAUUUAAAGAAAGCGUAAUAGCUCACUGGUCGAGUCGGCCUGCGCGGAAGAUGUAACGGGGCUAAACCAUGCACCGAAGCUGCGGCAGCGACACUAUGUGUUGUUGGGUAGGGGAGCGUUCUGUAAGCCUGUGAAGGUGUACUGUGAGGUAUGCUGGAGGUAUCAGAAGUGCGAAUGCUGACAUAAGUAACGAUAAAGCGGGUGAAAAGCCCGCUCGCCGGAAGACCAAGGGUUCCUGUCCAACGUUAAUCGGGGCAGGGUGAGUCGACCCCUAAGGCGAGGCCGAAAGGCGUAGUCGAUGGGAAACAGGUUAAUAUUCCUGUACUUGGUGUUACUGCGAAGGGGGGACGGAGAAGGCUAUGUUGGCCGGGCGACGGUUGUCCCGGUUUAAGCGUGUAGGCUGGUUUUCCAGGCAAAUCCGGAAAAUCAAGGCUGAGGCGUGAUGACGAGGCACUACGGUGCUGAAGCAACAAAUGCCCUGCUUCCAGGAAAAGCCUCUAAGCAUCAGGUAACAUCAAAUCGUACCCCAAACCGACACAGGUGGUCAGGUAGAGAAUACCAAGGCGCUUGAGAGAACUCGGGUGAAGGAACUAGGCAAAAUGGUGCCGUAACUUCGGGAGAAGGCACGCUGAUAUGUAGGUGAAGUCCCUCGCGGAUGGAGCUGAAAUCAGUCGAAGAUACCAGCUGGCUGCAACUGUUUAUUAAAAACACAGCACUGUGCAAACACGAAAGUGGACGUAUACGGUGUGACGCCUGCCCGGUGCCGGAAGGUUAAUUGAUGGGGUCAGCGCAAGCGAAGCUCUUGAUCGAAGCCCCGGUAAACGGCGGCCGUAACUAUAACGGUCCUAAGGUAGCGAAAUUCCUUGUCGGGUAAGUUCCGACCUGCACGAAUGGCGUAAUGAUGGCGGGCUGUCCACCGAGACUCAGUGAAAUUGAACUCGCUGUGAAGAUGCAGUGUACCCGCGGCAAGACGGAAAGACCCCGUGAACCUUUACUAUAGCUUGACACUGAACAUUGAGCCUUGAUGUGUAGGAUAGGUGGGAGGCUUUGAAGUGUGGACGCCAGUCUGCAUGGAGCCGACCUUGAAAUACCACCCUUUAAUGUUUGAUGUUCUAACGUGGACCCGUGAUCCGGGUUGCGGACAGUGUCUGGUGGGUAGUUUGACUGGGGCGGUCUCCUCCUAAAGAGUAACGGAGGAGCACGAAGGUUGGCUAAUCCUGGUCGGACAUCAGGAGGUUAGUGCAAUGGCAUAAGCCAGCUUGACUGCGAGCGUGACGGCGCGAGCAGGUGCGAAAGCAGGUCAUAGUGAUCCGGUGGUUCUGAAUGGAAGGGCCAUCGCUCAACGGAUAAAAGGUACUCCGGGGAUAACAGGCUGAUACCGCCCAAGAGUUCAUAUCGACGGCGGUGUUUGGCACCUCGAUGUCGGCUCAUCACAUCCUGGGGCUGAAGUAGGUCCCAAGGGUAUGGCUGUUCGCCAUUUAAAGUGGUACGCGAGCUGGGUUUAGAACGUCGUGAGACAGUUCGGUCCCUAUCUGCCGUGGGCGCUGGAGAAUUGAGGGGCUGCUCCUAGUACGAGAGGACCGGAGUGGACGCAUCACUGGUGUUCGGGUUGUCAUGCCAAUGGCACUGCCCGGUAGCUAAAUGCGGAAGAGAUAAGUGCUGAAAGCAUCUAAGCACGAAACUUGCCCCGAGAUGAGUUCUCCCUGACCCUUUAAGGGUCCUGAAGGAACGUUGAAGACGACGACGUUGAUAGGCCGGGUGUGUAAGCGCAGCGAUGCGUUGAGCUAACCGGUACUAAUGAACCGUGAGGCUUAACCU
This 2894-nucleotide ribosomal RNA is filed under the name Escherichia coli. Its description in RNAcentral is "bacterial LSU rRNA". It matches the Rfam family "Bacterial large subunit ribosomal RNA". Lineage: Bacteria; Pseudomonadati; Pseudomonadota; Gammaproteobacteria; Enterobacterales; Enterobacteriaceae. The record is from RNAcentral.